ACUUCUUUAUUAAAAUCAGUUUUUCAAAACGAUUUGCCAGAUUUGGACUUUUGGUGAUUUAUCAAUCUUACAUUGCACUCUGUGAGAUCAAAUUAAGAACCGUGACAUUGAGUUCGAACUUGUACUAGCUAGAGAACAAACGGAAUUCGCGCCCUCGCAGACGCGGAGCCCGAGGAGUUCUCGGGGCACAUCUACAAUAUUGUUCAUGAUGAAGAUGAGAUAUUCUAAUGCGGGACCAAUAUGUACAUCACAUUAUCAAUGAAACAAGAGCAACUGUCUUACUAAAAGAACGUGGUUCAGGAAAUUCUGAAAGUGCAUUCGGCGAAGAAGGACAGCAGCCACUGCAUUUAUACUUGUCGAGUAACAAUCCAAAAAGUAUUGAAAGUGCAAAGCUUUUGGCUAAAAAUCUUUUGGAUACAAUCAGCAUAAAGUUUCAUGCCUUUAGGGACUUUGUCACAAUCCAUAGGAUUGAGCUACACAUCCUGGGAUCCUGCCAUCAAUCCUUAGCUAUACAUCCUGGCAUCACCACAACCCUUCUUCAAGGGACUCUGUCACAAUCCAUAGGAUUGAGCUGCAGGGCAUUCUCAACCAAACAUGGUUUGCUAUCCCCAGCCUUCGUUAUCUAGUGGAAUGAGCUAUAGUGGAUAUUGUGGGAUAUAUCCUCAUGCCCACCCCUUUGCAGCAAGUUGCCUUAGCCCUUAGAAAGUCACAUUCUCUUGUCAAUUCAGCAGUUGCUCCUGCAACAACAACAGAAGCAAGCACAACAGCGAAUUCUAGCGAGAUCUUGUCUUAUAAGGACAAACGGCGUCUGCAUAAAUGAAAGUUUCAAGAGUUACCAACUGCUUCAAAGGGGCGUGCAAACCCCCAUAAGUGGAAAGGAAAAAAUGAAGUCAUGUUACCGAUCUUAAGUAGUUGGGAAUAAGGCUUUGCUAUAACUGUUGGUCUGCUGCUGCUGCUGUUACUUACUGGUCUGUUGCAGCUACUGCUUCCCUGGUGGCUGCUGCUGUUGCUUACUGGUCUGCUGCAGUUGCUGGCUUGCUGCAGCUGCUACUUCCCUGGUGGCUAUUGCUUGCUGGACUGCUGCUGCCGUGGAGGCUGAUGCUUGUUGGGUUGCUACUACUGCAAUGUUGUUGGGGCGGCUGCUACUAGAUGUUGGUCUACUGUAAUGUUGUUGCUGCAAUGGUUUUGUCCCUAGCCUUGGCUCUGUUUUGAUAUCAUUUUGUAUUAUUAACUUCCAAAACUACAUGUAGGGGCAUCGUUGAACCUACAUUGGUGUAAUGCCAGGAAAGAUGGUUCAAUGCUUGAAAAAUGUGGGAACAGCUAACCCUCUUGUGCUGAUCAAUGAGAUUGACAAGGUAUGCCAGUCUUAAUAACAUCGACAACUAAAUGGCUUUGUGUUCUGGUACUCUUUUAGUGUUCAGGAUGGGUUUUCUUUGGUUGUAGAGCACAAUUGCAUGUCUA
Non-coding RNA from Camellia sinensis, 1461 nucleotides. The record is from RefSeq and is a predicted model, not a curated record. Lineage: Eukaryota; Viridiplantae; Streptophyta; Magnoliopsida; Ericales; Theaceae.